Molecule: ribosomal RNA, 297 nt
Filed under: uncultured bacterium
Lineage: Bacteria
Description: partial 16S ribosomal RNA
Rfam family: Bacterial small subunit ribosomal RNA
Source: RNAcentral
AAUCAACGCUGGCGGCGUGCCUCAGACAUGCAAGUCGAACGAUUAAAGCUCUCUUCGGAGAGUGUAUAGAGUGGCGCACGGGUGAGUAACACGUAAGUAAUCUACCUUCGAGUGGGAAGUAACACCGAGAAAUACGGUGCUAAUACCGCAUAAUGCAGCGGCAUCGCAAGAUGACAGUUGUUAAAGAUUUAUCGCUUGAAGAGGAGCUUGCGGCAGAUUAGCUAGUUGGUAAGGUAAUGGCUUACCAAGGCUACGAUCUGUAACCGGUCUAAGAGGACGGUCGGUCACACUGACACU